CGCGGCGGGGCGGGGGCACGGGGGGCCUACGGGAGGCAGCAGUGGGGAAUUUUGGACAAUGGGCGAAAGCCUGAUCCACGCCAUGCCGCGUGCGGGAAGAAGGCCUUCGGGUUGUAAACCGCUUUUGUCAGGGAAGAAAUCUUUCGACGCUAAUACCUUGAGAGGAUGACGGUACCUGAAGAAUAAGCACCGGC
Molecule: ribosomal RNA, 194 nt
Filed under: uncultured bacterium
Lineage: Bacteria
Description: partial 16S ribosomal RNA
Rfam family: Bacterial small subunit ribosomal RNA
Source: RNAcentral